AUUGAACGCUGGCGGCAUGCCUUACACAUGCAAAUCGAACGGUAACGGGCCUUCGGGUGCCGUCGAGUGGCGCACGGUUGAGUAAUACAUCGGAACGUUCCCGAUCGUUGGGGUUAACUAGGCGAAAGCUUUACUAAUACCCCAUACGAUCUACGGUUGAAAUCAGUGGUCCGCAGGGCCUUGCCCGUACGUGUCGGCCGAGGGCAGAUUAGGUAGAUGGUGUUAUAAAAUCUUACCAAGCCGACGAUCUGUAGCUGGUCUGAGAGGAUGAUACGCCACCCUGGAAGUGAGACACGGACCAGACUCCUACGGGAGGCAGCAGUGGGGAAUAUUGGACAAUGAGCGCAAGCCUGAUCCAGCCAAGCCGCGCGAAGGAUGAAGGACUUCGGGUUGUAAACUGCUUUUGUACGGAACGAAAAGCCUUCUUUUAAUACAGGAGGGUAAUGACGGGACCGGAAGAAUAAGCACCGGCUAAAUACGUG
RNAcentral lists this ribosomal RNA (482 nucleotides) under uncultured bacterium. RNAcentral describes it as "partial 16S ribosomal RNA". It matches the Rfam family "Bacterial small subunit ribosomal RNA", at positions 30 to 507 of the family's 1533-position model. The record is from RNAcentral.